This 478-nucleotide ribosomal RNA is filed under the name uncultured bacterium. RNAcentral's name for it is "partial 16S ribosomal RNA". It matches the Rfam family "Bacterial small subunit ribosomal RNA", at positions 28 to 523 of the family's 1533-position model. The record is from RNAcentral.
GACGAACGCUGGCGGCGUGCUUAACACAUGCAAGUCGAACGGUAAGGCCCUUCGGGGUACACGAGUGGCGAACGGGUGAGUAACACGUGGGUGAUCUGCCCUGCACUUCGGGAUAAGCCUGGGAAACUGGGUCUAAUACCGGAUAGGACCACUGCCUGCAUGGGUGGUGGGGGAAAGCUUUUGCGGGGUGGGAUGGGCCCGCGGCCUAUCAGCUUGUUGGUGGGGUGAUGGCCUACCAAGGCGACGACGGGUAGCCGGCCUGAGAGGGUGGCCGGCCACACUGGGACUGAGAUACGGCCCAGACUCCUACGGGAGGCAGCAGUGGGGAAUAUUGCACAAUGGGCGCAAGCCUGAUGCAGCGACGCCGCGUGAGGGAUGACGGCCUUCGGGUUGUAAACCUCUUUCAGCACCGACGAAGCGCAAGUGACGGUAGGUGCAGAAGAAGGACCGGCCAACUACGUGCCAGCAGCCGCGGUAA